GGAUACCUCAGUCAGUAGAGCAUAAGACUCUUAAUGUCAGGGUCAUGGGUUCGAGCCCCAUGUUGGGCA
Molecule: non-coding RNA, 69 nt
Organism: Podarcis lilfordi (Lilford's wall lizard)
Lineage: Eukaryota; Metazoa; Chordata; Lepidosauria; Squamata; Lacertidae
Source: the annotation of a GenBank genome assembly